RNAcentral lists this ribosomal RNA (497 nucleotides) under uncultured bacterium. RNAcentral's name for it is "partial 16S ribosomal RNA". It matches the Rfam family "Bacterial small subunit ribosomal RNA", at positions 28 to 507 of the family's 1533-position model. The record is from RNAcentral.
GAUGAACGCUGGCGGCGUGCCUAAUACAUGCGAGUCGAGCGAACGGACGAGAAGCUUGCUUCUCUGAUGUUAGCGGCGGACGGGUGAGUAACACGUGGAUAACCUACCUAUAAGACUGGGAUAACUUCGGGAAACCGGAGCUAAUACCGGAUAAUAUUUUGAACCGCAUGGUUCAAAAGUGAAAGACGGUCUUGCUGUCACUUAUAGAUGGAUCCGCGCUGCAUUAGCUAGUUGGUAAGGUAACGGCUUACCAAGGCAACGAUGCAUAGCCGACCUGAGAGGGUGAUCGGCCACACUGGAACUGAGACACGGUCCAGACUCCUACGGGAGGCAGCAGUAGGGAAUCUUCCGCAAUGGGCGAAAGCAUGACGGAGCAACGCCGCGUGAGUGAUGAAGGUCUUCGGAUCGUAAAACUCUGUUAUUAGGGAAGAACAUAUGUGUAAGUAACUGUGCACAUCUUGACGGUACCUAAUCAGAAAGCCACGGCUAACUACGUG